This 44-nucleotide non-coding RNA is filed under the name Schistosoma margrebowiei. The record is from RNAcentral. Lineage: Eukaryota; Metazoa; Platyhelminthes; Trematoda; Strigeidida; Schistosomatidae.
AUCCAGCUGAAGAGCCCCAAAUAGGCGAAAUGCGCAUCCUGGAU